RNAcentral lists this transfer RNA (72 nucleotides) under Candidatus Pacearchaeota archaeon CG1_02_30_18. RNAcentral describes it as "tRNA-Gly". It matches the Rfam family "tRNA". From Rfam's summary of the family: Transfer RNA (tRNA) molecules are approximately 80 nucleotides in length. Their secondary structure includes four short double-helical elements and three loops (D, anti-codon, and T loops). RNAcentral also lists the same sequence under 6 other names. The record is from RNAcentral. Lineage: Archaea; Nanobdellati.
GCGCUGGUAGUAUAGUGGUUAGUAUAACUGGCUUCCAACCAGUUGACCCGGGUUCGACCCCCGGCCGGCGCA